UACAGAGGGGGCAAGCGUUGUUCGGAAUUACUGGGCGUAAAGGGCGUGUAGGCGGCCUGCUAAGUCGAACGUGAAAUCCCUGGGCUCAACCCAGGAACUGCGUCCGAUACUGGUUGGCUUGAAUCCGGGAGAGGGAUGUGGAAUUCCAGGUGUAGCGGUGAAAUGCGUAGAUAUCUGGAGGAACACCGGUGGCGAAGGCGGCAUCCUGGACCAACACUGACGCUGAGGAGCGAAAGCCAGGGGAGCAAACGGG
This 253-nucleotide ribosomal RNA is filed under the name uncultured bacterium. RNAcentral's name for it is "partial 16S ribosomal RNA". It matches the Rfam family "Bacterial small subunit ribosomal RNA", at positions 524 to 776 of the family's 1533-position model. The record is from RNAcentral.